RNAcentral lists this ribosomal RNA (500 nucleotides) under uncultured Glomeromycotina. RNAcentral's name for it is "partial small subunit ribosomal RNA". It matches the Rfam family "Eukaryotic small subunit ribosomal RNA", at positions 591 to 1092 of the family's 1831-position model. Lineage: Eukaryota; Fungi; Glomeromycota. The record is from RNAcentral.
CCAAUAGCGUAUAUUAAAGUUGUUGCAGUUAAAAAGCUCGUAGUUGAAUUUCGGGAUCAAUUUGCUGGUCGUGCCUUCGGUACGCACUGGUAUUAUUGGUUUCUCCUUUCUGAUGAAUCGCGAUGUCAUUAAUUUGGUGUCGUGGGGAAUCAGGACCGUUACUUUGAAAAAAUUAGAGUGUUUAAAGCAGGCUCACGCUUGAAUACAUUAGCAUGGAAUAAUGAAAUAGGACGUUUGAUUCUAUUUUGUUGGUUUCUAGGAUCGACGUAAUGAUUAAUAGGGUUAGUUGGGGGCAUUAGUAUUCAAUUGUCAGAGGUGAAAUUCUUGGAUUUAUUGAAGACUAACUACUGCGAAAGCAUUUGCCAAGGAUGUUUUCAUUAAUCAAGAACGAAAGUUAGGGGAUCGAAGACGAUCAGAUACCGUCGUAGUCUUAACCAUAAACUAUGCCGACUAGGGAUCGGAUGAUGUUAAUUUUUUAAUGACUCAUUCGGCGCCUUACG